RNAcentral lists this ribosomal RNA (1295 nucleotides) under Rhagonycha nigroimpressa. RNAcentral describes it as "16S ribosomal RNA". The record is from RNAcentral. Lineage: Eukaryota; Metazoa; Arthropoda; Insecta; Coleoptera; Cantharidae.
UAUAAUUAGAUGUUGACAAAUUUAUUUUUUAUAAAUUUUAGAAUAAACUUUAUUUUUAGUUUAAUAAAUUAAAAAAUAAAAAUUAUAAUAGUAGAAUAGUAAUGAAAAUGAAAAUUUUAAAUAUUUAAAUAUAUAAAAGAAAAAUUUAUUUUUUGUACCUUGUGUAUCAGGGUUAAUUUAAUUAAAAUUAAAUAGUUUAAUUUUCUCGAAUUAAUAAGAUCUAAGAAUUUAUUUUUUAAUUGUUUUAUAAAUUUUAAUUAUAAAUUUUUAGUAAUGAAAUGUUUUUCGUUUAUUAAUAUAUCUAGUUUUUUAAGAAAUAAAUUUAAUUUAAAAAAUAAAAUUUUUUAUUCUAAUUAUUAGUUUAUAUAUUUUAUUAUUAACAAAUUUAGGGGAUAAGCUUUAAAUUUAAUUAAUAAAAAUUUUAAAUAAAAAUUUGUAUUUUAGUUUAACUAAUGUUGUUAAUCUUUUUAAUAAUGUAAAAGUUAUAAUAUGAAUAUUUUGGAUUUAUAAUUAUUUUAUAUUUUUUAUUAAAAUAAAUAAUUAAAUGAUUAUAAUUGUUGUGUUUAUGAUUAAAUUAGUAAAUAAAUUUUUAUUAUAUAAAUGUUUUUGAAAGGUAAUAUUAAGGAACUCGGCAAAUUUAUUUUUCGCCUGUUUAUUAAAAACAUGUCUUUUUGAAAAAAAUAUAAAGUCUAGUCUGCUCAAUGAAUUAGAUUUAAAUAGCUGCAGUAUUUUGACUGUACAAAGGUAGCAUAAUAAAUAGUUUUUUAAUUGAAAGCUGGAAUGAAGGAUUGGACGAGAAAAUUACUGUCUCAAUAUUAUUAAAAUUUGAAAUUAACUUUUUAGUUAAAAGGCUAAAAUGUUUUUAAAAGACGAGAAGACCCUAUAGAGUUUUAUAAUUUAUAGUAUUUAAUUUAUUUAGAAUUAUUAAUAUUUAAAUAAUUAUAAAUUAUUUGGUUGGGGUGAUUAAAAAAUUAAUUAAACUUUUUUAUUUAAUUAAAUUAUUUAUAUAUAAAUUUAAAAUCUAUAUAUUAAAAUUAAAAUAAAUUACCUUAGGGAUAACAGCGUAAUAUAUUUUUGAAGUUCUUAUUUAAAAAUUUGUUUGCGACCUCGAUGUUGGAUUAAAAUUUAUUAUUGGUGUAGAAGCUAAAUAAUUGAGUCUGUUCGACUUUUAAAAUUUUACAUGAUCUGAGUUUAAACCGGUGUAAGCCAGGUUGGUUUCUAUCUUUAAAUUAAUAAAAUUUUUUAGUACGAGAGGACCAAAAAUUUGAUAUAAUAUUUAAUUUUUGAAUAAAAUU